CCAUCCUCCAAGGCUAAAUACUACUGACUGACCGAUAGUGAACCAGUACCGUGAGGGAAAGGCGAAAAGAACCCCGGAGAGGGGAGUGAAAUAGAACCUGAAACCGUAUGCGUACAAGCAGUGGGAGCCUACUUGUUAGGUGACUGCGUACCUUUUGUAUAAUGGGUCAGCGACUUAUAUUCAGUGGCAAGCUUAACCGUAUAGGGUAGGCGUAGCGAAAGCGAGUCUUAAU
Molecule: ribosomal RNA, 232 nt
Filed under: Campylobacter jejuni
Lineage: Bacteria; Pseudomonadati; Campylobacterota; Epsilonproteobacteria; Campylobacterales; Campylobacteraceae
Description: partial 23S ribosomal RNA
Rfam family: Bacterial large subunit ribosomal RNA
Source: RNAcentral